UACGUAGGAUGCAAGCGUUGUCCGGAAUUAUUGGGCGUAAAGAGCGAGCAGGCGGUCUGGAAAGUUGGACGUGAAAUUUUAGGGCUUAACCCUAAAGGGUCGUCCAAAACUUCCAAACUAGAGUGCAGGAGAGGAAAGCGGAAUUCCCGGUGUAGUGGUGAAAUGCGUAGAUAUCAGGAAGAACACCCGUGGCGAAGGCGGCUCUCUGGGACGGUACUGACGCUGAGACGCGAAAGCGUGGGGAGCGAACAGG
Molecule: ribosomal RNA, 253 nt
Filed under: uncultured bacterium
Lineage: Bacteria
Description: partial 16S ribosomal RNA
Rfam family: Bacterial small subunit ribosomal RNA
Source: RNAcentral